This 439-nucleotide ribosomal RNA is filed under the name uncultured cyanobacterium. RNAcentral describes it as "bacterial SSU rRNA". It matches the Rfam family "Bacterial small subunit ribosomal RNA", at positions 28 to 505 of the family's 1533-position model. Lineage: Bacteria; Bacillati; Cyanobacteriota. The record is from RNAcentral.
GACUAACGCUGACGGUAUGCCUUAUACAUGCAAGUCGAACGGUAAGGCCCCUUCGGGGGUACACGAGUGGCGGACGGGUGAGUAACGCGUAGGAAUCUGCCCCAAAGUGGGGGACAACCAGGAGAAAUCCUGGCUAAUACCCCAUAUGACGCAAGUUGAAAGAAUUUCGCUUUGGGAGGAGCCUGCGUUUGAUUAGUUUGUUGGUGAGGUAAAAGCUCACCAAGACUGCGAUCAAUAGCUGGUUUGAGAGGAUGAUCAGCCACAAUGGGACUGAGAUACGGCCCAUACUCCUACGGGAGGCAGCAGUAGGGAAUUUUGCGCAAUGGGCGAAAGCCUGACGCAGCAAUACCGUGUGUAGGAAGACGCUCUGUGGAGUGUAAACUACUGUCAGAAGGGACGAAUUUGACUGUACCUUCAGAGGAAGCACCGGCUAACUCCG